CUAGAGAUGCACGACUGCCAUGCUUGUUUCGGGCUAUCCCGUGCGGGCUUGGCNUCGGCAAAGGAAUGCUACCUGGUU
Molecule: unclassified non-coding RNA, 78 nt
Filed under: Alchemilla alpina
Lineage: Eukaryota; Viridiplantae; Streptophyta; Magnoliopsida; Rosales; Rosaceae
Description: partial external transcribed spacer
Source: RNAcentral